RNAcentral lists this ribosomal RNA (305 nucleotides) under uncultured bacterium. RNAcentral describes it as "bacterial SSU rRNA". It matches the Rfam family "Bacterial small subunit ribosomal RNA", at positions 336 to 638 of the family's 1533-position model. The record is from RNAcentral.
UUCCUACGGGACGCCGCCGUGCGGCCUCUUGGUCCCUUUUCUUGCGCCUGCACCCGCCAAGUCGCGUGAGGGAAGACGGUCCUAUGGAUUGUAAACCUCUUUUGUCGGGGAGCAAAGAGGCCACGUGUGGUCAAAAGCGAGAGUACCCGAAGAAAAAGCAUCGGCUAACUCCGUGCCAGCAGCCGCGGUAAUACGGAGGAUGCGAGCGUUAUCCGGAUUUAUUGGGUUUAAAGGGUGCGUAGGCGGGACGGUAAGUCAGCGGUAAAAAUGCGGAGCUCAACUCCGUCGAGCCGUUGAAACUGCCG